AAGAAAAGAGAGAACGUCUAAGAGAUAAGGUAGAAUAAAAAAAAAUAUUCGAUUAACAGAACGGAUAAUGAUAACACGUUCCAUUUUGAUCGAUAACGAUCGUUCGAUUGCGAAUAUUUCGAAUGUUAAAGUUAAAAAUUAUAUCAUGCACGAGGGGGAGGGGAGAAUGUUUAAUUUCGAUCAUCGAAACAAAGAUUCUUACACCGAUAUGGAAAAUAUAAUACAAAACGUGUAUUUCAUGGCUCACCCAGUAUACACAGCAUCGCAGGUAAUGAAAAUCCUAUUAGCAGCGGAACGUGUUAAGUAUUUAACAAAGUCUUUCUCACUCGAGAAUUCCUCGGCGGCGUCUAGGUCGAUUCGUUUCUCGGUCGAUCGACGGUGCACCACCCCACCCCGUGUUUCCCCAUCGAACGAACGUGUUUUCAACGUGAGCAACAGGUCCUAACCAUCGAAAUUCUCCGGCAUACGACGAAUUCUCGGGCUCGUUCGCGCGAAAAUCAAGCCACGUUAACAGUUUCGUCACCGAUCGCGGCACCAACUGUGCCGCGUUUUCAGGAUUUUCAUUCGAUCGACGACCAACAGGUACACGCGCACGUUUGUAGGUAUACACGGACGUGGUACACGUACAAACGCGCGAGAGUUCGUUUUCAGUCGCGAACAAAGAACGACCGUGUUGUGUUUGGACGAACAGCGAAGGCGUUUCGUGGAAUAUUUUUGCUCUCAGAACAAUGCGUAUGAUUCCGAGCAAUUUCACGCGUGACUUUUAUUUUUUCUUUUCUCUUUUGUUUUUCUUUUUUCUUUUUUUUUGUGCGCGCGCGCGUGUGCGUUCGACUGUUUUCGAUCGGAUUUUCGAGAGGAAUUGUAGUUUUUCGGAAUUUCGUGACGCGUAAAAUAGUCGAUUACGCGUGGUAAAAAAGUUUGUAAGGGAAAUUUGAUUGUAGAGAAAAUUAUAUUAAAUUUAAAAGAGAAAAAAAUUUAACCUUAAAUUUUGGUAUUAAUUUUUCGAAAAAAAAAGUUUUAACACGAUUAGAUACGUAUUUAGUAUGAUACGCGAUAACAGAGGAAAUUUAAUAUUUUAGAAAAAUUGGUGUAUGGUCGAAAAAAAGAUGAAUGAUUUUGUAGAGAGAGGUUAUGAUAUAUAUUUAUCAAGAAAUAAAAAGUACGAGCAAGUAAAUUUGUAUCAAAUGCUAAAGUCUCAUUGAAAAUAAAAUUUUUUAUCAUUUUUAAAUAAUAGUGUGCUCUAACAUACGUCGUACAUUCGACGUGUCUCGCAAAAUUUCAUGCAUCUCGUUCAUUUCAUCUUAUUAUUUAAAAUACGAUGUAUAUAUUUUAAUUUCAUAUCAUUUACUAGUAUCUUUAUAUAUAAUUACCAAAAUUUAAAACUAUGAGAAUAAAAUGUAAUAAAAAGAAAACACUUAAUCAUAAAAUAUGUACUUUUUAACAAUUCUAACCUUAUUCAUCCUUAAAUGUCAAGAAUCAAACAAUUAAAAAAAACACCAAACACAAUUCUUAUGAAAUUUCCACUCUCAUUUCUCUUCAUUCUUCAGUCAACAAAAAUCAAGAAGAAAAAAGAAUAAAUGGAUAAAAAUAAAACACUACUAAAAUGUGAUGAAACGUGACGAAGAAAUGCGACAGUCGAGUGUCAAUUAAAACCUCAUGGCCGAUGAAUACGAGCCGUAUCUCGAUCAUGCACACGCUCGAUUAUCGAUUCUCGCUGUCUCGCGUGGAUAAAGAUUUCUCUCGCGUCCGAAGGCGAGUUUACUCGCAACAAGUUCCAUCGAGAAUUUCUCGUUGAAGAAAUUUUUUGGCGAGACUAUGUCGAGUCAACCGUGAAAUUGCUUACUUCGCUUCGAUAGUCGAACUCGGGUAACAAUCGAUAUGUACGCGUAUCGAGAUUUGGACGAUCAGUGUUACUCGUUGAAACGGUACUGCGUAGUAUAUGGUGACACGUAAAGUGAGAAAAAAAUUCUAUUUGUAGUUAAGUGAACGAAUAGUUUAUCAGUGAGGGAUUAUUAAUCGAGUUGAAAUGCAAAAUAAUUGUAUCUACGAAACGAGAAAACAUCGAGAUUGUGCCAUCUGAGCCGAUGGAUGCAACUGCACCGCGAACAAGAAGGUUUCUACCUUCGUAUCAGAUGCACACCAGAUCUCUACAAUUCCGUUACCGACGGAUGCUCGCGCUUUACUAUAGUCGG
Molecule: long non-coding RNA, 2192 nt
Filed under: Apis mellifera (honey bee)
Lineage: Eukaryota; Metazoa; Arthropoda; Insecta; Hymenoptera; Apidae
Description: uncharacterized LOC113218945, transcript variant X2
Source: RNAcentral